RNAcentral lists this ribosomal RNA (670 nucleotides) under uncultured bacterium. Its description in RNAcentral is "bacterial SSU rRNA". It matches the Rfam family "Bacterial small subunit ribosomal RNA", at positions 8 to 675 of the family's 1533-position model. The record is from RNAcentral.
AGAGUUUGAUCCUGGCUCAGGAUGAACGCUAGCGGCAGGCCUAAUACAUGCAAGUCGAGGGGCAGUUUUAACUUCGGUUAGAAGCGACCGGCGAACGGGUGCGUAACGCGUAUGCAACUUACCCAUUACAGCGGGAUAGCCUCCGGAAACGGGGAUUAAUACCGCAUGAAGCAGGGGUACCGCAUGGUACUAUUAGCUAAAGAUUUAUCGGUAAUGGAUGGGCAUGCGUCUGAUUAGCUAGUAGGUGAGGUAAAAGCUCACCUAGGCGACGAUCAGUAGGGGGUCUGAGAGGAUGAUCCCCCACACUGGUACUGAGAUACGGACCAGACUCCUACGGGAGGCAGCAGUAGGGAAUAUUGGGCAAUGGGCGCAAGCCUGACCCAGCCAUGCCGCGUGCAGGAAGAAUGCCUUAUGGGUUGUAAACUGCUUUUGUAGAGGAAGAAAGGUUACGAUGCGUCGUAAAUUGACGGUACUCUACGAAUAAGCACCGGCUAACUCCGUGCCAGCAGCCGCGGUAAUACGGAGGGUGCAAGCGUUGUCCGGAUUUAUUGGGUUUAAAGGGUACGCAGGCGGCCAAAUAAGUCAGUGGUGAAAUCCUUCAGCUUAACUGAAGAACUGCCAUUGAUACUGUUUGGCUUGAGUAUAGUGGAGGUAAGCGGAAUUUAUGGUG